This 422-nucleotide long non-coding RNA is filed under the name Gopherus agassizii (Agassiz's desert tortoise). RNAcentral's name for it is "lncRNA (ENSGAGG00000003571.1)". The record is from RNAcentral. Lineage: Eukaryota; Metazoa; Chordata; Testudines; Testudinidae.
AACAACAGAUCCUGCAAUAAAUAAUUAAAGAAUCUCAUUUGAUUUUCUUUCCUCUUUGUUUUGUUGUAGGUUUAUAGCUAAACCCUGUGCCUUAGGUCUUAAAGUCCAGGCGAAUGGACCACAGAAAGCCCAACCUAAUGCUAUUCUGGAAAAAGUUUUCAUUGCAAUUACAAAGCAUCCAGAUGAGAAGAGACUGGAAGGCCUCUCCAAGCAGCUGGACUGGGAUGUACGCAGUAUUCAGCGUUGGUUUCGACAAAGACGCAACCAGGAAAAGCCCAGCACUCUUACAAAGUUCUGUGAAAGCAUGUGGAGAUUUACAUUUUAUCUUUAUAUAUUUACCUAUGGAGUCCGGUUCCUGAAAAAGGUAGGAGCUCUCAUUAUUGUAUUAUGCUUUUAUAACCAGUUACAAAUCUGUUUAAAGU